AACGCUAGCUACAGGCUUAACACAUGCAAGUCGAGGGGCAGCAUGAACAUAGUUUGCUAUGUUUGAUGGCGACCGGCGCACGGGUGCGUAACACGUAUCCAAUCUGCCCGUUACUCGGGGAUAGCCUUCUGAAAGGAAGAUUAAUACCCGAUAGCAUUCAUUUGCGGCAUCGCUUAUGAAUUAAAGAUUUAUCGGUAACGGAUGAGGAUGCGUACGAUUAGCUUGUUGGCGGGGUAACGGCCCACCAAGGCUACGAUCGUUAGGGGUUCUGAGAGGAAGGUCCCCCACACUGGAACUGAGACACGGUCCAGACUCCUACGGGAGGCAGCAGUGAGGAAUAUUGGUCAAUGGCCGGAAGGCUGAACCAGCCAAGUAGCGUGAAGGAUGAAGGUUCUAUGGAUUGUAAACUUCUUUUAUACGGGAAUAAAACCUCCCACGUGUGGGAGCUUGUAUGUACCGUAUGAAUAAGCAUCGGCUAACUCCGUGCCAGCAGCCGCGGUAAUACGGAGGAUGCGAGCGUUAUCCGGAUUUAUUGGGUUUAAAGGGAGCGUAGACGGGAGAUUAAGUCAGCUGUGAAAGUUUGAGGCCCAACCUUAAAAUUGCAGUUGAUACUGGUUUCCUUGAGUGCGGUUGAGGUGGAUGGAAUUCGUGGUGUAGCGGUGAAAUGCUUAGAUAUCACGAAGAACUCCGAUUGCGAAGGCAGUUCACUGGGCCGCAACUGACGCUGAAGCUCGAAAGUGCGGGUAUCAAACAGGAUUAGAUACCCUGGUAGUCCGCACCGUAAACGAUGGAUACUCGCUGCCGGCGAUACACAGUCGGUGGCCACGCGAAAGCCUUAAGUAUCCCACCUGGGGAGUACGCCGGCAACGGUGAAACUCAAAGGAAUUGACGGGGGCCCGCACAAGCGGAGGAACAUGUGGUUUAAUUCGAUGAUACGCGAGGAACCUUACCCGGGCUUGAACUAUGGUGGACCGUUCCAGAGAUGGAUCUUCCCUUCGGGGCCGCCAUGGAGGUGCUGCAUGGUUGUCGUCAGCUCGUGCCGUGAGGUGUCGGCUUAAGUGC
Molecule: ribosomal RNA, 1062 nt
Filed under: uncultured Bacteroidales bacterium
Lineage: Bacteria; Pseudomonadati; Bacteroidota; Bacteroidia; Bacteroidales
Description: bacterial SSU rRNA
Rfam family: Bacterial small subunit ribosomal RNA
Source: RNAcentral